GUUGAUAAGGUUAAGUGAAUAAGGGCGCACGGUGGAUGCCUUGGCACUAGGAGCCGAUGAAGGACGGGACUAACACCGAUAUGCUUUGGGGAGCUGUACGUAAGCUAUGAUCCAGAGAUUUCCGAAUGGGGGAACCCAACAUCUUUAAUAGGAUGUUACGAUUGUGUGAAUACAUAGCACAUUCGAGGUAGACGCAGAGAACUGAAACAUCUAAGUACCUGCAGGAAGAGAAAGAAAAUUCGAUUCCCUGAGUAGCGGCGAGCGAAACGGGAAAAGCCCAAACCAGCAAGCUUGCUUGUUGGGGUUGUAGGACUCCAAUAUGGUAGUUCUUUCAGAUAGUCGAAUGACUUGGAAAAGUCAGUCAAAGAGGGUAAAAACCCCGUAGACGAAAUGUGGAAGACACCUAGGAGGAUCCUGAGUACGGCGGAACACGAGAAAUUCCGUCGGAAUCCGGGAGGACCAUCUCCCAAGGCUAAAUACUCCCUAGUGACCGAUAGUGAACCAGUACCGUGAGGGAAAGGUGAAAAGCACCCCGGAAGGGGAGUGAAAUAGAACCUGAAACCGUGUGCCUACAACAAGUCAAAGCCCGUUAAUGGGUGAUGGCGUGCCUUUUGUAGAAUGAACCGGCGAGUUACGAUUGCAUGCGAGGUUAAGUUGAAGAGACGGAGCCGCAGCGAAAGCGAGUCUGAAUAGGGCGUUUGAGUAUGUAGUCGUAGACCCGAAACCAUGUGAUCUACCCAUGUCCAGGUUGAAGGUGCGGUAAAACGCACUGGAGGACCGAACCCACGUACGUUGAAAAGUGCGGGGAUGAGGUGUGGGUAGCGGAGAAAUUCCAAACGAACUUGGAGAUAGCUGGUUCUCUCCGAAAUAGCUUUAGGGCUAGCCUCGGAAUUGAGAAUGAUGGAGGUAGAGCACUGUUUGGACUAGGGGCCCAUCUCGGGUUACCGAAUUCAGAUAAACUCCGAAUGCCAUUCAUUCAUAUCCGGGAGUCAGACUGUGAGUGAUAAGAUCCAUAGUCGAAAGGGAAACAGCCCAGACCACCAGCUAAGGUCCCAAAAUAUAUGUUAAGUGGAAAAGGAUGUGGGGUUGCACAGACAACUAGGAUGUUGGCUUAGAAGCAGCCACCAUUUAAAGAGUGCGUAAUAGCUCACUAGUCGAGUGACCCUGCGCCGAAAAUGUACCGGGGCUAAACAUAUUACCGAAGCUGUGGAGUACACCUUUAGGUGUAUUGGUAGGAGAGCGUUCUAAGGGCGUUGAAGGCAGAUCGUGAGGACUGCUGGAGCGCUUAGAAGUGAGAAUGCCGGUAUGAGUAGCGAAAGACAGGUGAGAAUCCUGUCCACCGAAUGACUAAGGUUUCCUGGGGAAGGCUCGUCCGCCCAGGGUUAGUCGGGACCUAAGCCGAGGCCGACAGGCGUAGGCGAUGGAUAACAGGUUGAUAUUCCUGUACCCGUUGUUUUUGUUUGAGCAAUGGAGGGACGCAGGAGGCUAA
RNAcentral lists this ribosomal RNA (1489 nucleotides) under Enterococcus faecium. RNAcentral describes it as "partial 23S ribosomal RNA". It matches the Rfam family "Bacterial large subunit ribosomal RNA", at positions 1 to 1485 of the family's 2925-position model. Lineage: Bacteria; Bacillati; Bacillota; Bacilli; Lactobacillales; Enterococcaceae. The record is from RNAcentral.